Molecule: long non-coding RNA, 1049 nt
Organism: Oncorhynchus tshawytscha (Chinook salmon)
Lineage: Eukaryota; Metazoa; Chordata; Actinopteri; Salmoniformes; Salmonidae
Exons: 3
Source: RefSeq, a predicted model, not a curated record
CCUGCCUUGUGUCAACAGUACAGGCUGAUGGAGGUGGUGUGGGGAAUGUUUUCCUGGCAUACCUUAGGUCCCUUGCAACGAAUUGAGCCACGUUUACAUACCCCAAAGAAUUUCAGGCUGUUCUCGAGGCAAAGGGGUGUCCAACCCGGUACUAGAUACUAGGUGUACCUAAUAAACUGGCCACCGAGUGUAUGUACAUGUUUAUGUGGUCUAAAAGUCACAUCGGAUUAGCUAACUACUUCACACUUCUGGCACAGAAUAGCCAUGGUCUUAUUUGACGACAAAGCUCUAGCUAGAAAAUAUCUUUGAACAAUAUAUUGCUUAUUUUUCAGUGCUUCAACAACUUCUACAUAUUUGCGGAAAUGUAGCCACGCAAAACAUGAGGCAGUUGGGAUGUUUGUGAAGGAUCAGAUCGACAAAUUGUGACACUGCUUCGGAGUACAGUCCUUUGUGAUUUUGACGCAUGCCUCGGAGCUCCAGUAUCAAACGUAACAUCACUACUUGUCACUGCUAUAGGAGACUCUACAUAAGGAAUCUACGUAAGAAGACUCCCUGAAGUGUCACCAAAGGCGACCGAGCUGCUACAACUUUGAGGAGUCGCCACGCAACACAGGAUGCAGUUAGCAAACCUUUGCGCGAGGAAGGACCUGAGCUUUCCUUAUUAUUAUUGUCCGUCUUUGUGGCUCACGGGAACUGUGAACCGACAGAGUACUCAGAAAUGUUGUUGAAAGAGAGGGGCCUACAACCAAACAUAGAAAUCAUAUGAAAUAAGGGAAGUUUGUGUGGGCAACGAGUCGGAUGCAAAGGAUUUACUUCAGACACCCGACAAGGCCCAAAUCCGUCAUUCGCAUGAGAAAGAGACAGAGAUAUCGGGGAUGUAGGUCGGGGUGCCCUGUAAGGAUCCGACGGCAAGUGGGUAAUCUGCAUCUACCAUCAGUCAAAAUAGCCAAUUAUUUUUUACUUAACACUUAUUUUUCUUAACUGCAUUUUUGGUUAAGGGCUUAUAAGUAAGCAUUUCUCUAAGGGCUACACCUGUUGUAUUCAGAGCA